This is a non-coding RNA of Megalopta genalis, 2268 nucleotides long. The record is from RefSeq and is a predicted model, not a curated record. NCBI's taxonomy places the organism in Eukaryota, Metazoa, Arthropoda, Insecta, Hymenoptera, Halictidae.
UAUUCGGUCGAAACUGUAAAUUUCGAGCUUCAAUUUCGAUAACGACGAUAAAGACGAGAGGACGAAGCGACGAGCGCGACCUCGAGGAACCGUCGGGACACCGCACGAUAAAUUAUCUUGCAGAAAAAUAAGAAACCGGUAGCGCAAGACCGAUUGAAAGAAAAAUAGAGAAAGACGCGCGAGAACGGCACGUGCGACGAUACAGGUGAAUCAAAGUAUGCGAAUCGGCCCCGUAUCGGCGCGUAAAAGGCGAUCGGAGUACGCGUGCGCACAGGGGUGUUGUGACAGGUUGUCAUAGCGACGACAUCUCGACGCCGUCGGACCGAACGGGCGCGGGAACCGGGAACCGGGAACUAGGAACUGGGAACGUCGGACGUGUGGCCAGACGUCGCGAUGCAUCUGUGAGGUGCGAACCGCCGUCGGUGCAACGGCUGACGGCUGACGGCACGGCGCCUCGCUGUUACCGAACAUGCAUCGAACACGCGAACGAAUUUCUCGGUUUUUAUCGCGUCGUUGCGAUCCUGAUCGCGGUCGCGAUCGCGAUCCCGAGCCUCGUCUCGUCGACGAUCGAGGAAUCGCUGUCAAUUUCCCCUGCAGGCUGUGUUCCGUCUCCGCGAGUCGUGCGGGAACGUCGCGACGGUAGGAGUACGAGCGCAUAGAUAACGCAACAGCGACGUCUCCGAAAAUCGAAGCAACGAAUCUUCUCCCGUUUUUAUCGUCGGUAAGCUGCUGUUCCAUUUUAAAUCGAUGAAAUCCGAUGUUUGCGCUAUCUUAUAUCCACGCUGUUUCUCUUACCAUAUUUUUAAUCGACCAUCGUUGGUUCGCGGCCAAGAUUCGAAACGACUUUCCGCUGGAUCGCGGAAUCUUCGCUCGAAGCGUUUCCAGCAGCGGUCGGAAGGCCGGAGAGUCGGAGCAGAUGGGACGAUGGAAAACGUCUUACCCGAUACGUUUCAACGUACAUUCGUACGUUGCGCGUACAUUUUUCUCACCGAACAGUCGAUCGAACAGUUUUUCGCUACGGGCUGGACAGAGGGACGAUAUUUUUCAAAGUCUGGUCGAAAAUAGACGCGGCGCGGCGCUAGACCGCCGAAAGAUUGACAGCGAGUUGUUCGUAGAGGCGAGACGAACGAUUUGAUCGGGACUCGAAGGGCGUAGGAAGGUAAAAGGAGCAAUCGAUAACCUAAAUUACCUCGAGCUCGCAGAAGUUUUCGAGGGACUGCGUUACGGUUACGGACGUGUUCGUAAUCACGGUUGUAAAGUGGAGCACGAACGUGACCCGGCAGACGCGCGUCGCGGCUCCGACGAUGCCGUCCGCGGCAUGUCGGCGAGCGACAACGGUUGUCACCUUUCAGGGGCGUUACACGCCGUCGUUUACGUACCGUCGCGACGACGGUCUCGUUGAUCGAAGAAAGAUGUACGCGUGUGCGAAUAAAAAUCACCUUAAGAAUUACGAAGAAUAUAACUUUGAUCGGAAAGAAUCGAUCGCACCGUAUCGAUCUCGCGUUGCCGUACAACCGCGUAAGAAAUAUAAUAUUUCUCGCGUGGUUGCGAGAAAAGUGGACGGAUACCACCUUUGUACACGCGGUAAUCUACAACUCCCGAUAAUCGUUGUCGCAUCGUCGACCACGUUUGUUCGACGUUACGACGUUUCGUUAGAAACCAGUCAUCGGUUUUCCUCGAACCGGAUUACGCGGUACCUUGAAAACAGGGACUUUAUACCCACGCGAUUGCCCUUGAUCGAUAUCCAUCGUACCGAGUCUUGUCGUUUCGUCGCGUUCUCGUCGCGUUCUCGUCGCGUUCUCGUCGCGAGCGCUCGACCGACGCGCGUCCACGAUCUAAAAGGAUUUUCCAAUUUUUCGGACGCUGCUUCUUCUUUUCUCGUUUUACAAUCGGAUCCAGCUUAUCCGUACUCGCGUCGCGUCUUGGUUCGCGUUUUAAAAGUCGGGCGGUCGAAAGGUUACAGCUUUACGAUUGGACGGACGCUCUUUCUCGCGCGCGUCGAUUGGAAAAUCGGGGCGCGUUCGAUGCAUCCGUCGAUACCGCGCGUUCGCGCGAAAUAACUCGCCUUCCCCUGGCACGCGACAUCGAAGUCGAACCAAAACGUACACCGAAACUCGUUUCGCGCAUAGAGCCGAGAGCAACGAUAGCUCGAAUUUCAUCGCGUUAGAUUCUAAGUCGUCGCGUAACCGAUCCUCGAAAGCUGGCAAACGUUCGUUUCCGUACGGACGAUCGUCGAUUCGCUCGUCGGCGAGCCGUCUCGACGGUAGU